RNAcentral lists this ribosomal RNA (497 nucleotides) under uncultured bacterium. RNAcentral's name for it is "partial 16S ribosomal RNA". It matches the Rfam family "Bacterial small subunit ribosomal RNA", at positions 28 to 507 of the family's 1533-position model. The record is from RNAcentral.
GAUGAACGCUGGCGGCGUGCCUAAUACAUGCAAGUCGAGCGAACAGACGAGGAGCUUGCUCCUCUGACGUUAGCGGCGGAAGGGUGAGUAACACGUGGAUAACCUACCUAUAAGACUGGGAUAACUUCGGGAAACCGGAGCUAAUACCGGAUAAUAUAUUGAACCGCAUUGUUCAAUAGUGAAAGACGGUUUUGCUGUCACUUAUAGACGGAUCCGCGCCGCAUUAGCAAGUUGGUAAGGUAACGGCUUACCAAGGCAACGACGCGUAGCCGACCUGAGAGGGUGAUCGGCCACACGGGAACUGAGACACGGUCCAGACUCCUACGGGGGGCAGCAGUAGGGAAUCUUCCGCAAUGGGCGAAAGCCUGACGGAGCAACGCCGCGUGAGUGAUGAAGGUCUUCGGAUCGUAAAACUCUGUUAUUAGGGAAGAACAAAUGUGUAAGUAACUAUGAACGUCUUGACGGUACCUAAUCAGAAAGCUACGGCUAACUACGUG